GGCUUGCUUCGCCUCCUCACUCGGGAUUCGGCUUGCUUCGCCUCCUCACUCUGGAUCCUCCUCGCCUCGCCUCCUCACUCUGGAUCACUCUCACGUCGUCUAGAUCAUUUUUCUCACCAGAUCCCCGAGCACUUGUGGUCCUUCAUCCUGUGCAUCGUCGUCCGAUCCAGUUGCUUGGUACCAUCGUUGACUCAUCUCCGGUGUUACCACCAAUCUCAGCAGCAGCAGAAAGAAGGCACAAAACAAAAACAGAGGGAUUUUGUGCAUUUCAGACAAAGACAAGAAGCUAAGAAGGUAACUACUGG
Argentina anserina (silverweed cinquefoil) is the source of this 305-nucleotide long non-coding RNA. RefSeq lists it as uncharacterized. The record is from RefSeq and is a predicted model, not a curated record. The transcript has 3 exons. NCBI's taxonomy places the organism in Eukaryota, Viridiplantae, Streptophyta, Magnoliopsida, Rosales, Rosaceae.